This 1378-nucleotide ribosomal RNA is filed under the name Lampyridae sp. UPOL RK0107. Its description in RNAcentral is "SSU rRNA". It matches the Rfam family "Eukaryotic small subunit ribosomal RNA", at positions 32 to 1344 of the family's 1831-position model. The record is from RNAcentral. Lineage: Eukaryota; Metazoa; Arthropoda; Insecta; Coleoptera; Lampyridae.
UUGUCUCAAAGAUUAAGCCAUGCAUGUCUCAGUACAUACCGAAUUAAGGUGAAACCGCGAAAGGCUCAUUAUAUCAGUUAUGGUUCAUUAGAUCGUACUUCACAUUUACUUGGAUAACUGUGGUAAUUCUAGAGCUAAUACAUGCAAACAGAACUCCGACCGGAGACGGAAGGAGCGCUUUUAUUAGAUCAAAACCGAUGGGCGUCGGCGGCCGGCGCGAUCGUGCGCCGCGUCGUCGUCGUCGCAUAGCUCACACGAUGAAUCUGAAUAACUUUAUGCCGAUCGCACGGUCAAGCACCGGCGACGCAUCUUUCAAAUGUCUGCCUUAUCAACUUUCGAUGGUAGGUUAUGCGCCUACCAUGGUUGUAACGGGUAACGGGGAAUCAGGGUUCGAUUCCGGAGAGGGAGCCUGAGAAACGGCUACCACAUCCAAGGAAGGCAGCAGGCGCGCAAAUUACCCACUCCCGGCACGGGGAGGUAGUGACGAAAAAUAACGAUACGGGACUCAUCCGAGGCCCCGUGAUCGGAAUGAGCACACUUUAAAUCCUUUAACUAGGAUCAAUUGGAGGGCAAGUCUGGUGCCAGCAGCCGCGGUAAUUCCAGCUCCAAUAGCGUAUAUUAAAGUUGCUGCGGUUAAAAAGCUCGUAGUCGAAAUUGUGUCCCGGGCCGCCGGUUCGUCGCUCGCGACGUCAACUGGCGCGCACGCGGGACGUCCAGCCGGUGCUCGAACCCGCCGACGGUGCUCUUAACCGAGUGUCCAGGCGGGGGCCGGCAACGUUACUUUGAACAAAUUAAAGUGCUCAAAGCAGGCUAAACUGCGCUCGCAUAAUCAGUGCAUGGAAUAAUCGAAUAGGACCUCUGUUCUAUUUUGUUGGCUUUUGUAGAACAAACAGAGGUAAUGAUCAAUGGGUGCGGAUGGGGGCAUUCGUAUUGCGACGUUAGAGGUGAAAUUCUUGGAUCGUCGCAAGACGCACUAAAGCGAAAGCAUUUGCCAAAAACGCUUUCAUCGAUCAAGAACGAAAGUUAGAGGUUCGAAGGCGAUCAGAUACCGCCCUAGUUCUAACCAUAAACUAUGCCAGCCAGCGAUCCGCCGAAGUUACUACUAUGACUCGGCGGGCAGCUAUCGGGAAACCAGAGCUUUUGGGUUCCGGGGGAAGUAUGGUUGCAAAGCUGAAACUUAAAGGAAUUGACGGAAGGGCACCACCAGGAGUGGAGCCUGCGGCUUAAUUUGACUCAACACGGGAAACCUCACCAGGCCCGGACACCGAAAGGAUUGACAGAUUGAGAGCUCUUUCUUGAUUCGGUGGGUGGUGGUGCAUGGCCGUUCUUAGUUGGUGGAGCGAUUUGUCUGGUUAAUUCCGAUAACGAACGAGACUCU